CAGUCGAGCGAAGCAGUUAAGAAGAUUCUUCGGAUGAAACUUGAUUGACUCACUUGGAGGACGGGUGAGUAACGCGUGGGUGACCUGCCCCAUACCGGGGGAUAACAGCUGGAAACGGCUGCUAAUACCGCAUAAGCGCACAGAGCCGCAUGGCUCGGUGUGAAAAACUCCGGUGGUAUGGGAUGGGCCCGCGUCUGAUUAGGCAGUUGGCGGGGUAACGGCCCACCAAACCGACGAUCAGUAGCCGGCCUGAGAGGGCGACCGGCCACAUUGGGACUGAGACACGGCCCAAACUCCUACGGGAGGCAGCAGUGGGGAAUAUUGCACAAUGGGGGAAACCCUGAUGCAGCGACGCCGCGUGAGCGAAGAAGUAUUUCGGUAUGUAAAGCUCUAUCAGCAGGGAAGAUAAUGACGGUACCUGACUAAGAAGCUCCGGCUAAAUACGUGCCAGCAGCCGCGGUAAUACGUAUGGAGCAAGCGUUAUCCGGAUUUACUGGGUGUAAAGGGAGUGUAGGUGGUAUCACAAGUCAGAAGUGAAAGCCCGGGGCUCAACCCCGGGACUGCUUUUGAAACUGUGGAACUGGAGUGCAGGAGAGGUAAGUGGAAUUCCUAGUGUAGCGGUGAAAUGCGUAGAUAUUAGGAGGAACACCAGUGGCGAAGGCGGCUUACUGGACUGUAACUGACACUGAGGCUCGAAAGCGUGGGGAG
RNAcentral lists this ribosomal RNA (708 nucleotides) under uncultured bacterium. Its description in RNAcentral is "bacterial SSU rRNA". It matches the Rfam family "Bacterial small subunit ribosomal RNA", at positions 59 to 768 of the family's 1533-position model. The record is from RNAcentral.